RNAcentral lists this ribosomal RNA (804 nucleotides) under Brevibacterium casei. Its description in RNAcentral is "bacterial SSU rRNA". It matches the Rfam family "Bacterial small subunit ribosomal RNA", at positions 32 to 848 of the family's 1533-position model. Lineage: Bacteria; Bacillati; Actinomycetota; Actinomycetes; Micrococcales; Brevibacteriaceae. The record is from RNAcentral.
AACUGACUCUCUUCUCUACAUACACAUCUCAGCUGUAGCCUGGUGCUUGCACCGGGUGGAUGAGUGGCGAACGGGUGAGUAACACGUGAGUAACCUGCCCCUGACUUCGGGAUAAGCCCGGGAAACUGGGUCUAAUACCGGAUACGACUGCCGGACGCAUGUCUGGUGGUGGAAAGUUUUUUCGGUUGGGGAUGGGCUCGCGGCCUAUCAGUUUGUUGGUGAGGUAAUGGCUCACCAAGACGACGACGGGUAGCCGGCCUGAGAGGGCGACCGGCCACACUGGGACUGAGACACGGCCCAGACUCCUACGGGAGGCAGCAGUGGGGAAUAUUGCACAAUGGGGGAAACCCUGAUGCAGCGACGCAGCGUGCGGGAUGACGGCCUUCGGGUUGUAAACCGCUUUCAGCAGGGAAGAAGCGCAAGUGACGGUACCUGCAGAAGAAGUACCGGCUAACUACGUGCCAGCAGCCGCGGUAAUACGUAGGGUACGAGCGUUGUCCGGAAUUAUUGGGCGUAAAGAGCUCGUAGGUGGUUGGUCACGUCUGCUGUGGAAACGCAACGCUUAACGUUGCGCGUGCAGUGGGUACGGGCUGACUAGAGUGCAGUAGGGGAGUCUGGAAUUCCUGGUGUAGCGGUGAAAUGCGCAGAUAUCAGGAGGAACACCGGUGGCGAAGGCGGGACUCUGGGCUGUAACUGACACUGAGGAGCGAAAGCAUGGGGAGCGAACAGGAUUAGAUACCCUGGUAGUCCAUGCCGUAAACGUUGGGCACUAGGUGUGGGGGGCAUUCCACGUUCUCCGCGCCG